RNAcentral lists this ribosomal RNA (229 nucleotides) under uncultured bacterium. RNAcentral describes it as "partial 16S ribosomal RNA". It matches the Rfam family "Bacterial small subunit ribosomal RNA", at positions 128 to 353 of the family's 1533-position model. The record is from RNAcentral.
GCCUUAUAGUGGGGGAUAGCCUUUCGAAAGGAAGAUUAAUACCGCAUAAGAUUGUAGUAUCGCAUGAUAUAGCAAUUAAAGGAGCAAUCCGCUAUAAGAUGGACCCGCGUCGCAUUAGCUAGUUGGUGAGGUAAUGGCUCACCAAGGCGACGAUGCGUAGCCGACCUGAGAGGGUGAUCGGCCACAUUGGGACUGAGACACGGCCCAGACUCCUACGGGAGGCAGCAUG